CAGUACCGCGGUAACACAGAGGGUGCGAGCGUUAAUCGGAUUUACUGGGCGUAAAGCGUGCGUAGGCGGCUUCUUAAGUCGGAUGUGAAAUCCCUGAGCUUAACUUAGGAAUUGCAUUCGAUACUGGGAAGCUAGAGUAUGGGAGAGGAUGGUAGAAUUCCAGGUGUAGCGGUGAAAUGCGUAGAGAUCUGGAGGAAUACCGAUGGCGAAGGCAGCCAUCUGGCCUAAUACUGACGCUGAGGUACGAAAGCAUGGGGAGCAAACAGGAUUAGAUACCCCCGUAGUCCCUGUCUCUUAUACA
RNAcentral lists this ribosomal RNA (301 nucleotides) under uncultured bacterium. RNAcentral's name for it is "partial 16S ribosomal RNA". It matches the Rfam family "Bacterial small subunit ribosomal RNA", at positions 509 to 808 of the family's 1533-position model. The record is from RNAcentral.